GUACCGAUGAAGAGUCCCAAACUAGGACGAAACAGUUGUCAAGUAC
Non-coding RNA from Trichobilharzia regenti, 46 nucleotides. Lineage: Eukaryota; Metazoa; Platyhelminthes; Trematoda; Strigeidida; Schistosomatidae. The record is from Rfam.